RNAcentral lists this ribosomal RNA (466 nucleotides) under uncultured bacterium. Its description in RNAcentral is "partial 16S ribosomal RNA". It matches the Rfam family "Bacterial small subunit ribosomal RNA", at positions 28 to 507 of the family's 1533-position model. The record is from RNAcentral.
GAUGAACGCUGGCGGCGUGCUUAACACAUGCAAGUCGAACGGAAAGGCUCCUGCUUGCAGGGGUACUCGAGUGGCGAACGGGUGAGUAACACGUGGGUGAUCUGCCCUGCACUUCGGGAUAAGCCUGGGAAACUGGGUCUAAUACCGGAUAGGACGAUGGUUUGGAUGCCAUUGUGGAAAGUUUUUUCGGUGUGGGAUGAGCUCGCGGCCUAUCAGCUUGUUGGUGGGGUAAUGGCCUACCAAGGCGUCGACGGGUAGCCGGCCUGAGAGGGUGUACGGCGACAUGGGGGCUGAGGGGAGGCCGGGGCUCCUACGGGAGGCGGCAGUGGGGUGGGGUGCGCAAUGGGCUCGGGCCUGAUGCCGCGUCGCCGCGGGGGGGAGGACGGCCGUCGGGUGGUAAACAACUGUCGCUGGGGACGAAGCGCAAGUGACGGUACCUGGAGAAGAAGCACCGGCUAACUACGUG